Molecule: long non-coding RNA, 2121 nt
Filed under: Eucalyptus grandis
Lineage: Eukaryota; Viridiplantae; Streptophyta; Magnoliopsida; Myrtales; Myrtaceae
Description: long non-coding RNA (EGRA_LNC003462)
Source: RNAcentral
UAUAUUGUCACGCCCCGACCCUCAGGCACGCACACAUCCCUUACUCUUGGUCGAUUUUAAAUUGCGAUAUCCCAGGACUAUGUAUCGCCGACCCUUUCAUUCUUUAUAGCACAUGCGGAAGCAGUUAUAAAUCCCCAGACAAUAAAGCAAUGGGAUAGAAAAGCAGGCCAUAUAUUUUCCUUACUGAAAAUUCACAACUACAUCUUUUUACAAGCAAACAAGGUCUGACAAGACAGGACAGGGUUUCAGUCCUCAUCCGGGUCGUACUCGAUGUCAUACUCGGGGUCCUCCUCCACGUACUCCUCUUUAGGUUCCUCAACAGGGAUCUCCUCAUCAGAUUCAUGCUCCUUAGGCUCCUCAUCCAGGUCCUGAAAUGGUUAUUCAAUAACCACUGAGACCACGUCUCAGCAAGUUCUACCUCCUAAGACCCGAUUAGUAAACUAAUACACCUUAGGGCUGCCUAUGCACAACAUGAGUCAGAGGACUUACCUUGGCCUCAGAUUCCACCUGCAGAUUAGCACAGAUCAAAUAGGCACCCAAGCAAUUACAUCACAGAUCGAAGCAUCGAUCAAAUCGACCGAGUCGAUUACACGCCAACAAGACCACUCACGGUCACUUUCAUUCAAUCGAUCAUUUCACAACAUCAAAUCAAGGCAAUGAAUCACAUCAAAUCACACUCAGAUCGAAUCAUCGAUCAAUCGACUUAGUCGAUUACACGCCAACAAGACCACUCACGGUCAUUCCCAUUCAAUCAACCAAUUCACAACAUCAGAUCAAAACAAUGAUCAAUCGACCUAGUCGAUUACAUGUCAUACCAAUCAUUCUCCACGGAGGAGUAUCUAAAAGCGAGGCCACGUGCAUUCUCAAGGACGACAUUCCAAGUCUCCGAGCCACGUGCCUCAAACCUCGGGCCCACGUGCAUUCUCUAAGGCGACUUCUUCGCCAAGGUGGUACAUCAAGCCACCGAGCCACGUGCCCUUUUUACGAUGCCCGGGCCCACGUGCAUUCUCUAAGGUACUCGCUUACCAAAGUGACGCAUCAGAUCACCGAGCCACGUGCCCUUUCAGAUGCCAUUUCGAAUACUGGACCCACGUGCAUUCUCUAAGGUACUCGCUUACCAAAGUGACGCAUCAGAUCACCGAGCCACGUGUCCUUUUAGAUGCCUGGGCUCACGUGCAUUCUCUAAGGUACUCGCUUACCAAAGUGACGCAUCAGAUCACCGAGCCACGUGCCCUUUUAGAUGCCAAACUCUGUCACCGAGUCACGUGCAUUUUCCAGGUGAUAUUCCAAUUCACCGAGCCCAAGUGUCCUCUUUCAAGUGGUUACCAAUCUUCUUUCAAUACCAACAACCAAUGGCCAACAAUUUCUCAAUCAAAUAAUUAAAUCAACUCAACAAAGCAUUAUAAAUGCUGAAUAACAUACUUGGCCAAUCACCAAUCAAUAAUUCAAUCUCAAUCGAUUCCAAUCAAAUUAGGGUAAAUCCAUAAACCAUCACAAUUUAUUCAAUUCCAUACAACGUAGAGCUCAAAUAAAUAAAUGAACUGCGCCACGACGAUCAGCACGAGAUUUCGGUCGUCGGCCAUCAAAAUCUUAAUUUCCGAAAAAUAAAUAAAUAAUUAAUUUCGAAAAUUAAAUAAUUAAUAUUAAAAAUUCAAUUUAUCUCAAAAUAAAGCCCGAUUAAAUAAACAGACUUCACCACGGUCAUCAGCACAAUAUUCCGGUCCCGGGCCAUCACAGUUGAAAUUUCAGAAAAUAAAUAAUUAUUUAAUUUAAUUCCGAAAAUUAAUAAUUAAAUACUAAAAAAUCCACUUAGGCCCGAAAAGCCUAAUUGGAGCCCACUAAGGGUCGGGAAAAAUCCCCGAGGCACUUCCCAAUAAAUACUACAUGCAAUUCUCUAUCUAAUUACACUAAUCACACAAUUAAUAUGCAAAGCAAUUAACUAAUAAUCGCUAAUCAAUUCUAAUCUAACUACCUAAUUACACUUAAUUAACACUAAUCAACCUUUAAGUAUAAUUAGCAAACUAAGAAGGCAUUAGUGAGUAAAACUCACCCAAAACGACGGGCUCGACGCGAGGAUCGACUUUCCUCAAAGCGGGCUGAGCAUUCGGGCUCGGGAAGGCG